AAAUUAAAUGUUGCCACUUGUCCUGAGCUGGAAAAAUGGCUAACAGCUGAACUGUUCUAACAGAAUGGGAAGACAGAUGGACAAAUGACCUCCUGGUGCUGAGAGAGGGAAGGAGGCAGCUGCCUGUGGAUCCACUGUGCUGGGGCUAGCCCCAGAGGAGGGGGCUCACACUGCUGGGAGGUCCUUUCCAGGCUGUGUGGCUGCAGGUCAUGAACUCUGAGAGUUUGAGAUGAGCCUCUAAAAGCUGUAUCAAUAGCACCUUGCACUGUUGAAGCAGGUAAGUGUUUUCCUUGUUACUUCUUAAGUUCAGUUGGAAACCCAACAUAGCAAAUCCUCUAGAAUGCAGCUGAAGCAGUACUAAGGCUGGGUGUGGUGGCUCAUGCCUAUAAUCCUGUAGGGAGGCAAAAGCGGGAGGAUUGCUGGAGCCCAGGAGUUCAAGACCAGCCUGGGCAACACGGCAAGACCUGGUUCUCCACAAAAAGGAAAAAAAAAUGCUAAGAGGCAAGUAUAUAGCAAUAAACUCCUACAUCAAAAAAGUAGAAACAUUUCAAAUAAGAGAUUGGGGGCAGUGGCUCAUGCCUGUAAUCCUAGCACUUUUGGAGGCCGAGGUGGGUAGAUUGCUUGAGACCAGGAGUUCGAGACCAGCAUGGGCAACAUAGCGAGACCCUGUCUCUACAAAAAAUCAGAAAAUUAGCCAGGCGUGGUGGUGCAAGCCUGUAGCCCCAGCUACUCGGGAGGCUAGGGUGGGAGGAUUGAUUGAGCCUUUGAGGUAGAGGUUGCAGUGAGCUGAGAUUGUGCCAUUGCAUUCCAGCCUGGGUGACAGAGCUAGACCCUGUCUCAAAAAAAGAAAGAGAGAAAGAAAGAGAAAUAAAUAAAGAGAGAAAGAAAGAAAAGAAAGAAAACAAACAAGGAAGGAAGAAAGAAAAAGAAAGAGAAAGAAAGAAAGAAAAAGAAAAAGAAAGAAAGAAAGACUUCAAUAACCUAAGGAUGCACCUCAAGAAUCUAGGAAAGCGAGAACAAACCAAACCCAAAAAUUAGUAGAAGAAAGUAAAUAAAGCGCAGAGCAGAAACAAAUAAGAUUGAGACCAAAAAAAUACAUAAAAGAUCAAUGAAAAAAAAAUUGCUUUUACAUCAUGGUCUUGACCUUGCAGGGAUGGCCCCUCCCAGUUUUAGCCAAUUUCUCGAGUGAUAAAUAACUUGCUUGAGAGCAUGCCUUUUAUAUAUAAACCACCAAUCCAGAGCCCACAUCCCACCCACUCUCUAACAGGGCGCUAUACUCACCCCAGGGCCAGGUAUCACACCACUAAGAACAGCCCUUUUCCCCAGAUCCCACUGAGGUUAUCCAAAGUGACCAGCCCUAACCUAUGAAAUCUGCCUCACUUCUUCCUUUCCACAGAAACUAUAGCAAAGUCUUGUCCACACCCACAUUUCACUCACCUCCUUCUGACUCCUGGCAGAUCCUGGCGCUUUCCCCAUGGGGCUGCCUGAGCUGAGACGGGCUCUCUUCUCCUGGAAACUGAGUAACACAAUUUAUUUCAAUGACAGUCACUUCCUCAUCUGUUGGCCUCAGCGUACCUCCAAUUUUCCAUUACACAAUAAAUGGAAAAUAAUAUAGGCCGGGUGUGGUGGCUCACGCCUGUAAUCCCAGCACUUUGGGAGGCCGAGGUGGGUGGAUCACCUGAGGUCAGGAGUUUGAGACCAGCCUGACCAGCAUGGCGAAACCCCAUCUCUACUAAAAAUAGAAAAAUUAGCUGAGCUUCGUGGCUGGAGCCUGUAGUCCCAGAUACUUGGGAGGCUGAGCCAGGAGAAUUGCUUGAACUCAGAAGGCAGAGGUUGCAGUGAGCCGAGAUCAUGCCGCUGCACUCUAGCCUGGGAGACAGAGCGAGACUCCAUCUCAGAAAAAAAAAAAAAAAAGAAAAUUGAAUUGGGCCAGCCCCUCCACACCUGUGGGUAUUUCUCAUCAGGUGGGACGAGAGACUGAGAAAAGAAAUGACACAGAGACGAAGUAUAGAGAAAGAACAGUGGGCCCAGGGGACCAGCGCUCAGCAUACAGAGGACCCGCACUGGCGCCAGCCCCUGAGUUCCCUCAGUAUUUAUUGAUCAUUAUUUUUACUAUCUUAACAAGGGGAGCGUAGAAGGACAACAGGUGGGGAGAAGGUCAGCAGGGAAACGUGCGCAAAGGAAUCUGUAUCAUGAAUAAGUUCAAGGAAAGGUACCGUGGCUGGAUGUGCACGUAGACUAGAUUUAUGUUUCUCUUUACCCAAACAUCUCAGUGUAGCAAAGAGUCACAGAGCAGUAUUGCUGCCAGCAUAUCUCACCUCCAGCCACAGGGCGGUUUUCUCCUAUCUCAGAAUAGAACGAAUGGGAAUGAUCGGCUUUACACCCAGAUAUUCCAUUCCCAGGGACGAGCAGGAGACAGAAGCCUUCCUCUUAUCUCAACUGCAAAGAGGCCUCCCUCUUUCACUCCUCCUCCUCAGCACAGACCCUUUAAGGGUGUCCCGCUGGGGGAUAUAAGGUCUUUCCUUUCCCAUGAGGCCAUAUCUCAGGCUAUCUCAGUGAGGGGAAACCUUGGACAAUACCCAGGCUUUCUUGGGCAGAGGUCCGUGUGGCUUUCCGCAGUGCAUUGUGUCCCUGGUUAAUCGAGACUGGAGAAUGGCGAUGACUUUUACCAAGCAUACUGCCUGCAAACAUAUUGUUAACAAGGCACAUGCUGUACAGCCCUA
Molecule: long non-coding RNA, 2723 nt
Filed under: Homo sapiens (human)
Lineage: Eukaryota; Metazoa; Chordata; Mammalia; Primates; Hominidae
Description: HSALNT0262786
Source: RNAcentral